CCAAGAAAGAUGAUCUCCAUGAUUUCCACAGAGAGGCCAGAGAGCUCCACAAGACACUGACAGGCUAAUUCGAAGUUAUCAAGGGAGCUCUUAUUGGCCCAAAUCUUUUUCAGUUUGUCUUCAUAUUUCACAACACAAUUGCUCUAGAGGAAAAUCAUUAUUGCUCACUGUUUCCAUAUCAGGGCUUUAAAAUAGCUGUUGUGGAGACCCUGGUUUCCUGACCACAGAUGUUCACAGCUACCGCUGCUCUGGAUGGUUAUUUUGGACAAUGUCUGAGAUGGCCAUUGGACUGGAUUUGACAAGACAAAAGCAAACUGUGUUGACAGAUUUGAUGGAAAGAGUAAAGAAAGAAGGUCUGCUCUGGUGUAUUUACAGCCACUGCAAAUAAUCCUCUCAAUAGUUCUCUCAGAGUAACCUAUUAGCCUUGCUAGUGACAUUCACUUCUUCAGCAGCUUGCAUUGACAGAUGGAUGUCCCUGUUUGUGAUAUGUUAUCCUAGUGUCAACUCCAGGAUGAUGCUGUAUUCAAGGGAGCCAAAAUGGAAAACACCUGUGGUGAUCCUGGUGAUGCUCUGAAAAACGGCUCAACAUCUGGUUUAGUCUGAACUCUGAAGACUGCGGAUGAUUCCUCGUCCCUUUCUCUCACACUCCAGUAUCCCUCAUUCCUUCACCCCCCUUCUUUCUUUAUUCAAAUAUCAUAUGGAAAAUUUCUCUUCUUCCCAAAGUAAGGCCAGAAAAAAAAAAAACUCAUCUGGAUUCUUCUACAGCAGCAGUGGUGAUUGAUAGAGAUGUAGCUGUUUUCAUCUUAAAAUGUUGGACAAAACAAAUAGCUCUAAAUCUUCCCAUGUGCAAACAGUGAGACAGUGGCCCGAGAGAAAGCAGGGAAGAGCGGAGUGAAAACUUUAUGGCAGCAACAACGUUAAUGGCAGCUUUGGAUGAUUUCAGGGGCCCAGCAGAAUCAGACUCACAGUGCUGAUGCCAGUAAAAGAUUCAUGCAAGUGACUGUCCAGUCUAAACAUGGCCUGGAGUUUAUUUGGUGCAGAACAGGAUGGGGACAUCUUGUAUUUUUCCUACAGCUUCCUAAAAUUCAAAUCAUCCAGUCAUUAAGAUUUAUCCUUCCCUUGAGAGAACACAGUUGAGACACAACAAACCAGAAACAUCUAUGGAGCUUUAGGUUGUCUGUCAACAUUUCUUCCAUUUCACCAAAAAAUGAAGGUAGCCCACCCCUAAGAUAAUAUCUGCUGAAUGGUACAGGAUCACUCAGUCAGGUUAGAAUUCUUUGAUGAAAUACAACCUGAAGAUGAUGUUAUUGAUGCUCCAUUUUGAUUUCUUUCAACAGUCUGGCACUUCUCUUUGACAACUAAUCACCUUGUGAUUGAAGAAAAGCAAGCUAGACUUUAAAGGGAAAGUUGGAACUUUCCAAGGCUACUUCUGGAACUCUCAGCUUCCACCGAGGGCUUAGAUUUUAAUGAUAUCUCAAGGCCUGUCUCCUGUGCUAUUUGGAUGGAGCUUGGCAUGAUGAACAAAGUCCUGUGUGAUGACCUCACAGGUUCAGAAUAAGUAGCAAUAAUGUGCAAUGAUCUGACUAAGGUCCUGGAGAACGGAAAGGACCUCUAAUGGUUUUUUUAUUUAUUGUGUUAAGCUCCUACACUCAAAGACCAACACUAUAAAGAUAACAUUUCCUAUUGUUUAUAUCUGCAGACAAUAAUGUCUUACAGAUGUGUACUCCAUUCAUUUGUGCAUUUAAAAAAUAAGUGAAAGCUAGUGAGCAGUUGUUUGCUGCUUGCUUAAUGCUUCAGGUUCAAAACUUCUAGAAUAAAGACUUGUCUAUCUUUGACUGUUUAUUUUAG
Ctenopharyngodon idella (grass carp) is the source of this 1848-nucleotide long non-coding RNA. RefSeq lists it as uncharacterized. The transcript has 3 exons. The record is from RefSeq and is a predicted model, not a curated record. NCBI's taxonomy places the organism in Eukaryota, Metazoa, Chordata, Actinopteri, Cypriniformes, Xenocyprididae.